GAUGAAGAACGCAGCGAAAUGCGAUAAUUAAUGUGAAUUACAGAAUUCCGUGAAUCAUCGAGUCUUUGAACGCACAUUGCGCCUCAUGGCAUUCCGUGAGGCAUGCCCAUCUCAGCGUUAGAAAAUAUUCUCAAAUUUUAGUUUUGUGCUAAAAUUUGGAUCAUGUCAAGGAAGCUAUUACUAUUAUUGUGAUCGCUCUUUGGAAAUUGAUAGGUCUUUGAGUUGCUACUCAUAGAACGUGAUGAAUCUUUCUUCGUUCUAUUGUAAUUCACUCUGGUAGUCCUAAAACUUGUAUGCCUGUGGCAUAUCUUGUAAUUUGACCUGAGAUUGGGUAGGGAUACCCGCUGAACUUAAGCGUAUCAAUAAGCGGAGGA
Molecule: unclassified non-coding RNA, 374 nt
Filed under: soil metagenome
Description: partial internal transcribed spacer 1
Rfam family: 5.8S ribosomal RNA (bases 1-120)
Source: RNAcentral